Molecule: transfer RNA, 72 nt
Filed under: Bos taurus (domestic cattle)
Lineage: Eukaryota; Metazoa; Chordata; Mammalia; Artiodactyla; Bovidae
Also listed under: 2 other names
Rfam family: tRNA
About the family: Transfer RNA (tRNA) molecules are approximately 80 nucleotides in length. Their secondary structure includes four short double-helical elements and three loops (D, anti-codon, and T loops). Further hydrogen bonds mediate the characteristic L-shaped molecular structure. tRNAs have two regions of fundamental functional importance: the anti-codon, which is responsible for specific mRNA codon recognition, and the 3' end, to which the tRNAs corresponding amino acid is attached (by aminoacyl-tRNA synthetases). tRNAs cope with the degeneracy of the genetic code in two manners: having more than one tRNA (with a specific anti-codon) for a particular amino acid; and 'wobble' base-pairing, i.e. permitting non-standard base-pairing at the 3rd anti-codon position.
Source: Rfam by way of RNAcentral
UCCCUGAUAGCUCAUUUAGUAAAGAAUCUGCCUGUAAUUCAGGAGACCCUGGUUCGAUUCCUGGGUGGGGAA